GUAGGUGAACCUGCGGAAGGAUCAUUUUUGUUGCUUAAUAGACUUGAGGGGUUAACCUUUAAGCGUUGACUGAACACGUCUCAGUAUAUAUUUAUACUGGGGUUGAACAUGGCAUUGUCUGACUAGUUUUAAUAUAAAAAACUUUCAACAACGGAUCUCUAGGCUCUU
Molecule: unclassified non-coding RNA, 168 nt
Filed under: rhizosphere metagenome
Description: partial ribosomal RNA internal transcribed spacer region
Source: RNAcentral